AUUUUAAUUGGUUCAUGAAUUUCGAUAUAACAAAGGACUAAUCCAGGUUAAAAUGUAUGUGGGAGACAGGACUAAUCCAGGUUAAAAUGUAUGUGGGAGACAGGACUAAUCCAGGUUAAAAUGUAUGUGGGAGACAGGACUAAUCCAGGUUAAAAUGUAUGUGGGAGACAGGACUAAUCCAGGUUAAAAUGUAUGUGGGAGACAGGACUAAUCCAGGUUAAAAUGUAUGUGGGAGACAGGACUAAUCCAGGUUAAAAUGUAUGUGGGAGACAGGACUAAUCCAGGUUAAAAUGUAUGUGGGAGACAGGACUAAUCCAGGUUAAAAUGUAUGUGGGAGACAGGACUAAUCCAGGUUAAAAUGUAUGUGGGAGACAGGACUAAUCCAGGUUAAAAUGUAUGUGGGAGACAGGACUAAUCCAGGUUAAAAUGUAUGUGGGAGACAGGACUAAUCCAGGUUAAAAUGUAU
Mytilus californianus (California mussel) is the source of this 466-nucleotide long non-coding RNA. RefSeq lists it as uncharacterized. The record is from RefSeq and is a predicted model, not a curated record. The transcript has 4 exons. Lineage: Eukaryota; Metazoa; Mollusca; Bivalvia; Mytilida; Mytilidae.